Molecule: ribosomal RNA, 468 nt
Filed under: uncultured bacterium
Lineage: Bacteria
Description: partial 16S ribosomal RNA
Rfam family: Bacterial small subunit ribosomal RNA
Source: RNAcentral
GACGAACGCUGGCGGCGUGCUUAACACAUGCAAGUCGAACGGAAACGCCCUGCUUUUGUGGGGUUCUCGAGUGGCGAACGGGUGAGUAACACGUGAGUAACCUGCCCUUGACUUUGGGAUAACUUCAGGAAACUGGGGCUAAUAUCGUAUAGGAGCUCCUGCUGCAUGGUGGGGGUUGGAAAGUUUCGGCUGUUGGGGAUGGACUCGCGGCUUAUCCGCUUGCUGGUGGGGUAGUGGCUUACCAAGGCUUUGACGGGUAGCCGGCCUGAGAGGGUGACCGGCCACAUUGGGACUGAGAUACGGCCCAGACUCCUACGUGAGGCAGCAGUGGGGAAUAUUGCACAAUGGGCGGAAGCCUGAUGCAGCAACGCCGCGUGCGGGAUGACGGCCUUCGGGUUGUAAACCGCUUUCGCCUGUGACGAAGCGUGAGUGACGGUAAUGGGUAAAGAAGCACCGGCUAACUACGUG